This 731-nucleotide ribosomal RNA is filed under the name uncultured bacterium. RNAcentral describes it as "bacterial SSU rRNA". It matches the Rfam family "Bacterial small subunit ribosomal RNA", at positions 9 to 734 of the family's 1533-position model. The record is from RNAcentral.
GAGUUUGAUCAUGGCUCAGGAUGAACGCUAGCGGGAGGCUUAACACAUGCAAGUCGAGGGGCAGCACGAGGUAGCAAUACUUUGGUGGCGACCGGCGCACGGGUGAGUAACGCGUAUGCAACCUACCCUGUACAGGGGAUAGCCCGGAGAAAUUCGGAUUAAUACCCCAUAACGAUAUCGAGAGGCAUCUUUUGAUAUUUAAAGUUUCGACGGUACGGGAUGGGCAUGCGUGACAUUAGCUAGUUGGUAGGGUAACGGCCUACCAAGGCUUCGAUGUCUAGGGGUCCUGAGAGGGUGAUCCCCCACACUGGUACUGAGACACGGACCAGACCCCUACGGGAGGCAGCAGUAAGGAAUAUUGGUCAAUGGACGCAAGUCUGAACCAGCCAUGCCGCGUGCAGGAAGACAGCCCUAUGGGUUGUAAACUGCUUUUUCGCAUGAAGAACACCCCUGACGUGUCGGGGGCUGACGGUAAUGCGUGAAUAAGCACCGGCUAACUCCGUGCCAGCAGCCGCGGUAAUACGGAGGGUGCAAGCGUUAUCCGGAUUUAUUGGGUUUAAAGGGUGCGUAGGCGGCUAUUUAAGUCAGUGGUGAAAUCCUGCAGCUCAACUGUAGAACAGCCAUUGAAACUGAAUAGCUUGAGUGAUCUUGAGGUAGGCGGAAUGUGUAGUGUAGCGGUGAAAUGCUUAGAUAUUACACAGAACACCGAUUGCGAAGGCAGCUUACCAAGG